Molecule: long non-coding RNA, 1196 nt
Filed under: Gallus gallus (chicken)
Lineage: Eukaryota; Metazoa; Chordata; Aves; Galliformes; Phasianidae
Description: long non-coding RNA NONGGAT000953
Source: RNAcentral
CCCCCACCGCCUCCCCGCCCGCCUGGGCCCGCGCAGCCAAUCGGCGCCUCCGCGGCGCUGCACGUGACCUUUGUUGACUUACGUCAGUCAUAGCGCUCUUCCACCGCUGCGCUCCGGUUUGGUUGGCGCUCAGCGCCCGCCUCUCUCGGCGGCCUCACGCCAUUGGUCAGCGUCAGCGGGAGGAGGCGGGUUUUGUGCCCGUCGCGGUUCACGAGAGGGCGAGGAGCCCAUCAAUCAGAAGAGCUUUUCGAUGAUCAGGUACCAGCAAGUUUGCUGAGCGCCUUUAAAAACCGGAGGGCGAGAAGGCGGGGGGAAGUUUUCGGGAGCGGUGCGGGCCUUGGGGGUGGGAGGAGGAGGGUGUGCUGCCCUGCGUUCCCGGGCGGCGUUGCGUAACGAGGGCUCCGGGCUGGGGGCGUAGACGGCGUUGAAGAAGCAGGACCUCGCGCACGAGCCGGGCAGAGCCAUGCCCGCUCGCCUUCCCUUGGCUCGGCCGCGGGGCGUGGCUGCCUUGGCAGCACCGGAUCAUAAUGGUUUCUUCGCGCGGUGAGAAGGGAGGAGGCCCACCCGCAGCCUGAGGGGCCGUUAGGCUGCGGGCAGCGCCCGCACCGAAGGGCGGGUAGAGGAAGGUCCUCCGUGCCCGGAUCCCGCUGCCCUCGCGUCACAGCGGUUAGUUCCAUCCGCCGCAGGAAAGCCGAGGCAAGGCGCGGCGGCGCCAGCGCCCGUUCAGGGACUUUCCCCUCAUAGGGGUGGAGCGACCGUUGGCCCGCCUGCGCCAACGGACGAGCGCGUGGCGGGGCGCGAGGAGAGGGGCGGGGCGGAUCCGCUUCGCACGCGCCCCUCCCCGCGCCUCACUGACAGGUGGAGCUGUGCCCCGUCUGUCGUCACGUGACGGGGGGUGGGGAGGAGAUACCGCCUCGCGAGAGCGCUGUGACGAAGCUACCGCGGCCCCGCAGGCGUGAGGGAGGGGAGGGGGUGCGGCUGCCGGCUGCCAGCGGAGGGCUUGGCGGGGCCAUCCAGUAGGGGAGCGGGAAGGAGCUUUACGGAGCGUUUGAUUACACAGGGCAUGUGUGCAUUUCCAGCAUUGCAGGAGAUGUGCUGAAGACAAAGUCUUGAGCAGUACGAAGGACUCCAGUGUCUCUGUUCCUCUUAAAACAUGACUACGUAAGCUCUCUGGUGCAAAUGCAGCUAGAACAAAA